This is a long non-coding RNA of Impatiens glandulifera, 460 nucleotides long. RefSeq lists it as uncharacterized. The record is from RefSeq and is a predicted model, not a curated record. The transcript is spliced from 3 exons. NCBI's taxonomy places the organism in Eukaryota, Viridiplantae, Streptophyta, Magnoliopsida, Ericales, Balsaminaceae.
CAGAAAUGCUUUGGCGAGAGUAGUCCAGACCAGGUCUCCUUCUCUUCUCUUCUCGUUUUCUGUUCUUGUUCCAUCAACGAAUCGACGACAAUCCUCCCGCAAAUGGCGCAGAGUAUCAACCAGGAUUGUGUAUGCCAGAUGUGUGGGGUUGAAGGCUAUAAGGAAGUUCUAGUUCAUUGCUCUUCCUGUGGUGCUUAUGAACAUAUGUAUUGCAUGAAAAAAGACAUAGUGGAAGUACCAAAAGAAUGGAAAUGUGAUGACUGUCAAACAAAAACUCAAGGUUGGUGGUGUCUGUUUCUGUCAUGGGUAGUUAUUUGAAAAUGAUUUGGUAAAAAUAUCAUAUUUAAAAUGAGUAAUGGUUUGUAUUAUCUGGUUUAUUUGGAUUAAACUAAUACUCCAUCGUCAAUCACUUAUCGAAUAUUGUAACUCUGGAUUAUUUGGUUUAUUUGGAUUAAACUAA